GAUGAAGAACGUAGCGAAAUGCGAUACGUAAUGUGAAUUGCAGAAUUCAGUGAAUCAUCGAAUCUUUGAACGCAUAUUGCGCUCUCUGGUAUUCCGGAGAGCAUGCUUGUUUGAGUAUCAGUAAACACCUCAACUUCCAUAUCUUUUUUGAAAUGGGAGUUGGACUUGAGGGAUCCCAACGCUUUUCCUCACCGAAAAGUGGCGGGUUACUUGAAAUGCAGGUGCAGCUGGACUUUUCUCUGAGCUAUAAGCAUAUCUAUUUAGUCUGCCUAAAAAACAGAUUAUUACCUUUGCUGCAGCUAACAUAAAGGAGAUUAGUUCUUGUGCUGACUGAUGCAGGAUUCACAAAGACAGGCUUCGGCCGACUUUGUAAACUCGAUCUCAAAUCAAGUAAGACUACCCGCUGAACUUAAGCAUAUCAAUAAGCGGAGGA
This 433-nucleotide unclassified non-coding RNA is filed under the name soil metagenome. RNAcentral's name for it is "partial contains 5.8S ribosomal RNA, internal transcribed spacer 2, and large subunit ribosomal RNA". The stretch from base 1 to 120 matches the Rfam family "5.8S ribosomal RNA", at positions 35 to 154 of the family's 154-position model. The record is from RNAcentral.